This 277-nucleotide ribosomal RNA is filed under the name uncultured archaeon. RNAcentral's name for it is "partial 16S rRNA". It matches the Rfam family "Archaeal small subunit ribosomal RNA", at positions 1047 to 1325 of the family's 1478-position model. The record is from RNAcentral.
GAGACCCACACCCCCUGUUGCCACUGAGGAGUUUUCCAAGGGGCACUCUGGGGGGACUGCCGUCGAUAAGACGGAGGAAGGGGUGGGCUACGGCAGGUCAGUAUGCCCCGAAUCCUCCGGGCCACACGCGAGCUGCAAUGGCUGGGACAGUGGGUUCCGACCUCGAAAGGGGAAGGUAAUCCCGAAACCCGGCCUCAGUUUGGAUCGAGGGCUGAAACCCGCCCUCGUGAAUAAUGGAAUCCCUAGUAAUCGCGCGUCAUCAGCGCGCGGUGAAUAC